UACGAAGGGGGCUAGCGUUGUUCGGAAUUACUGGGCGUAAAGCGCGCGCAGGCGGCUAUCCAAGUCAGUGGUGAAAGCCCGGAGCUCAACUCCGGAACUGCCAUUGAAACUGUUUAGCUUGAGGACGAGAGAGGUGAGUGGAAUUCCCAGUGUAGAGGUGAAAUUCGUAGAUAUUGGGAAGAACACCGGUGGCGAAGGCGGCUCACUGGCUCGUAUCUGACGCUCAGGCGCGAAAGCGUGGGGAUCAAACAGG
Molecule: ribosomal RNA, 253 nt
Filed under: uncultured bacterium
Lineage: Bacteria
Description: partial 16S ribosomal RNA
Rfam family: Bacterial small subunit ribosomal RNA
Source: RNAcentral